CUCGUAGGCGGUCGUCGCGUCCGGUGUGAAAGUCCAUCGCUUAACGGUGGAUCUGCGCCGGGUACGGGCGGGCUGGAGUGCGGUAGGGGAGACUGGAAUUCCCGGUGUAACGGUGGAAUGUGUAGAUAUCGGGAAGAACACCAAUGGCGAAGGCAGGUCUCUGGGCCGUUACUGACGCUGAGGAGCGAAAGCGUGGGGAGCGAACA
Molecule: ribosomal RNA, 206 nt
Filed under: uncultured bacterium
Lineage: Bacteria
Description: partial 16S ribosomal RNA
Rfam family: Bacterial small subunit ribosomal RNA
Source: RNAcentral